CAACGUAGGAAGAAUGGUAAUUUGCACAUAAAUUGAAUUGGGUCUCUAGGCCUGGCCUGCUCUCUCUGAUGCCAUUUGGCUUUGAUUUGGGGGCAUGGUUCUGCAGCAAAACA
Molecule: small nucleolar RNA, 113 nt
Organism: Rhododendron vialii
Lineage: Eukaryota; Viridiplantae; Streptophyta; Magnoliopsida; Ericales; Ericaceae
Product: small nucleolar RNA snoR100
Exons: 1
Source: RefSeq, a predicted model, not a curated record